RNAcentral lists this ribosomal RNA (207 nucleotides) under uncultured Synergistaceae bacterium. Its description in RNAcentral is "partial 16S ribosomal RNA". It matches the Rfam family "Bacterial small subunit ribosomal RNA", at positions 568 to 775 of the family's 1533-position model. Lineage: Bacteria; Thermotogati; Synergistota; Synergistia; Synergistales; Synergistaceae. The record is from RNAcentral.
CGCGCAGGCUGUAGAUCAAGUCAGCUGUGAAAUGUCUGGGCUUAACCCGGGCAUGCGGUUGAAACUGAUGUACUGGAGUGCUGUAGGGGCAAGUGGAAUUCCCAGUGUAGCGGUGAAAUGCGUAGAUAUUGGGAAGAACACCGGUGGCGAAGGCGACUUGCUGGGCAGCAACUGACGCUGAGGCGCGAAAGCCAGGGGAGCAAACGG